Molecule: non-coding RNA, 99 nt
Filed under: Paenibacillus sp.
Lineage: Bacteria; Bacillati; Bacillota; Bacilli; Caryophanales; Paenibacillaceae
Also listed under: 1 other name
Description: Glycine sequence
Rfam family: Glycine riboswitch aptamer
About the family: This family represents the bacterial glycine riboswitch. Glycine riboswitches usually consist of two metabolite-binding aptamers domains with similar structures in tandem. The aptamers cooperatively bind glycine to regulate the expression of downstream genes.
Source: RNAcentral
UUGAUGGCAGGGGGAGAGAUUACAAUUACCGUAUUGUAACGCCGAAGGAGCAAGCCGCGAAGCGGUGAAUCUCUCAGGCAAAAGGACCUCUGCCGGACG